GAUGAACGCUGGCGGCGUGCCUAAUACAUGCAAGUCGAGCGAACGGACGAGAAGCUUGCUUUUCUGAUGUUAGCGGCGGACGGGUGAGUAACACGUGGAUAACCUACCUAUAAGACUGGGAUAACUUCGGGAAACCGGAGCUAAUACCGGAUAAUAUUUUGAACCGCAUGGUUCAAAAGUGGAAGACGGUCUUGCUGUCACUUAUAGAUGGAUCCGCGCUGCAUUAGCUAGUUGGUAAGGUAACGGCUUACCAAGGCAACGAUGCAUAGCCGACCUGAGAGGGUGAUCGGCCACACUGGAACUGAGACACGGUCCAGACUCCUACGGGAGGCAGCAGUAGGGAAUCUUCCGCAAUGGGCGAAAGCCUGACGGAGCAACGCCGCGUGAGUGAUGAAGGUCUUCGGAUCGUAAAACUCUGUUAUUGGGGAAGAACAUAUGUGUAAGUAACUGUGCACAUCUUGACGGUACCUAAUCAGAAAGCCACGGCUAACUACGUG
RNAcentral lists this ribosomal RNA (497 nucleotides) under uncultured bacterium. RNAcentral's name for it is "partial 16S ribosomal RNA". It matches the Rfam family "Bacterial small subunit ribosomal RNA", at positions 28 to 507 of the family's 1533-position model. The record is from RNAcentral.